Molecule: ribosomal RNA, 495 nt
Filed under: uncultured bacterium
Lineage: Bacteria
Description: partial 16S ribosomal RNA
Rfam family: Bacterial small subunit ribosomal RNA
Source: RNAcentral
GACGAACGCUGGCGGCGUGCCUAAUACAUGCAAGUAGAACGCUGAAGGAGGAGCUUGCUUCUCUGGAUGAGUUGCGAACGGGUGAGUAACGCGUAGGUAACCUGCCUGGUAGCGGGGGAUAACUAUUGGAAACGAUAGCUAAUACCGCAUAAUAGUAGAUGUUGCAUGACAUUUGCUUAAAAGGUGCAAUUGCAUCACUACCAGAUGGACCUGCGUUGUAUUAGCUAGUUGGUGGGGUAACGGCUCACCAAGGCGACGAUACAUAGCCGACCUGAGAGGGUGAUCGGCCACACUGGGACUGAGACACGGCCCAGACUCCUACGGGAGGCAGCAGUAGGGAAUCUUCGGCAAUGGACUGAAGUCUGACCGAGCAACGCCGCGUGAGUGAAGAAGGUUUUCGGAUCGUAAAGCUCUGUUGUAAGAGAAGAACGAGUGUGAGAGUGGAAAGUUCACACUGUGACGGUAUCUUACCAGAAAGGGACGGCUAACUACGUG